AGUCCCAGGACAGCUCCUCUUUGGCUGUGGGAGGCCCAGCUUCAGCCUUGUCUGUGGCUUCCUGGUGGGAGGACACAGGCCUUGAGGGACGUUUGUCCGAGACGGUCCUCAUCCUACUGGUAGGGACACAGAGCACCUGUUCCUCUGGCCCCUCCAGGAGCAAGACACAUGCACUGCUGAGGCCUUGGAAGCCUACACAGGUUUAUCACCCACGGCCAGACCUGUCUGUCAGGGAGCAGGUGGGGUCAUCCUGCCCUGAAGCACCGAUGAGCUGAUCCCGGUCAUGCAGAGUGGGUGGGGACCUCUUGGCUGGGCCUGUUCAUGUAGCACACACGGCUUUGCUGCCCAUAGAAUCCAGGGCCCCCAGUGUGAGCACCACUCUCCAUCCCUGAGGCCGAGCCUUACCCUGGAGGCAGCCUCAGGUGAGAUGCCCCUAAUGGAGCCACCUGGCAAUGGACCGCUCUCAGGUCCUUCAGCUCGGUGCACUCACCCGGGAGCCCUGCGUUCUGUCCUGGGGUAGAGGCUCAGGGUUGGUUUGAAGCCAUAUAGUCAGCUCCCAGAGUCACAGAAACGUCCAAGGAAGAAAACUGUCCGAUUACAGACUUUUAAAAUUCAUUCAUAGUUUAAUCAAGAGAACUUGCUGUUCCUUCCUCAAAUUUCCUAGAAUUGGUCUUCUCAUAAUCACCACCUAGGGCACAGCUGUGGCCGAGGCUCCCAUGAUGAAGCGUCUGUGUCAGCGCUGACGAGGUCUGCCGAGGACGCGUUUCUCUCUGCAGCCCGGCACCAGUCUCAAGGCCAUCGGCUCCGACAGCGUCACCUCCUGGGACCUUCCCUUCAUGUAUGGUCCCAGCGGCAUGCGGGCCUGGUGGAGGAGGUCCUGGCCUGCCGCCCAGGGAUGGCCGGUCCAGGCGCAGGGCCGAUUGUCCACUUCUGGCCCCUGAGGUACCGGGAGGGCUGGUGAGCAGCAUGUCUCGCUCUGAGACCGGCCAGGCUGCUGGGGCAGGCAUCUGAUGUACAGUAGUUCCCACACGUGGCAAUGUCACCAGCAAGAGCCACGUAUGAUAAAUUCAGGCCGUCCACCGUGGCAACACUGGGAAGGCUGAUUCUGUAGGAAAGGAUUGGCCUUGGGCCAUCACUGUUCAAAGAAGAAGAAAUCCCUGGAUCACUGUCUGAUCCAACUCCAGACAGACACUCCACACAGGAUUCCUCCUGGGGAUCACGGCUCUUCUCUUGGCGGAGAAGAAGGAGGGAGAAUGAGCCCAUGUCGGGGGCCUCUAGGCAGCCCGCCACAGCCCUACAACUCAAAGAAAACUCACCAGUCCCUGGUCACUCGGAUGUCCUUGGAGGCGCUUGGAUUUACUGCAGGGACCCCAAGAGUCGGCCACGGCAGAGCCCCGUCUGCCAGCCCACCGAGGACUCGGGGAGGGGAGGGAGCACUGCAGCAGAACGGAAAAUGGGUCCACGCUCAGCUUCUUGGUUUAUCAUUUUAGACUUUAUGCGUUGGCUUCCUGCGACAAAUGGUUACAUUUUAACCCUUUUACAACCACAUUUCCUCCCCCAAUCCUCUCAAUGUCAUGAUUUUUCUUUUUUCUUUUUUCUUUUUUUUUUUUUUUUGAGACGGAGUCUCGCUCUGUCGCCCAGGCUGGAGUGCAGUGGCACAACCUCGGCUCACUGCAAGCUCCGCCUCCCGGGUUCACACCAUUCUCCCGCCUCAGCCUCCCGAGUAGCUGGGACUACAGGCGCCCGCCACCAUGCCCGGCUAAUUUUUUCAUAUUUUUAGUAGAGAUGGGGUUUCACCCUGUUAGCCAGGAUAGUCUCGAUCUCCUGACCUCGUGAUCCGCCUGCCUCAGCCUCCCAAAGUGCUGGGAUUACAGGUGUGAGCCACCAUGCCCGGCCAUGAUUUUUCUUUUGGAAAUGGAGUCUCACUCUGUCGCCCAUGCUGGAGUGCAAUGGCACAGUCUCAGCCUCGCCGCGCCCUCUGCUUCCUGGCUUCAAGCAAUUCCCUUGCCUCAGCCUCCUAUGUAGCUGGGAUUACAGAUGCGCGCCACCAUGCCCAGCUAAUUUUUGUAUUUUUGGUAGAGACGGGGUUUCACCAUGUUGGCCAGGCUGGUCUCGAACUCCUGUCCUCAAGUGAUCCACCCACCUUGGCCUCCCAAAGUGCUGCGAUUACAGGCAUGAGCCCCACGCCCUGCCUCCUUGUCAUGGCUUUUACUCCACAGUGUGUAUGCCGUUGAAAUUGAAUAAAUAUGGAUUACAACAGAGACCACUGUUGUGCUAUGAUUACAUUUGUCAACUUAGAUAACAGAGAGGCUCUGUGAAAGAAAACGACAUUUAUUCAAAAAUAGGGCGUUGCAGUCGGAACACACGUGCGGUGGUAGACUGUGUGUGUUCAGGGAGGUAAAGGGAGAAAAAGGCUUUUAAAGGGAAAACGAGGAUCACACCGUUGUUUUGAGGCGAUUCCCCUUGUCUACAAGCAUCAGCGGCGGGGGGUGCCAGUCCAGGGUUGGACCGCAGUUGCUGGGCAGAUGUCCUCACAGUAUUUUCUGUCCAUGGUUGCAGUGGACUUCAUACAGCGUUGUGGUUUCUCAGUAUUUUGUGAUAGUAAUACAAGAGUUAUUAAGAAAUAAUUUUUAUGCCGGGUGCGGUGGCGCACGCCUGUAAUCCCAGCACUUUGGGAGGCCAAGGCAGGCAGAUCACCUGAGAUCAGGAGUUCGAGACCAGCCUGGCCAACAUGGUGAAACCCCAUCUCUACUAAAAAUACAAAAAUUAGCCGGGCGUGGUGGCGGGUGCCUGUAAUCCCAGCUACUCCGGAAGCUGAGGCAGGAGAAUCGCUUGAACCCGGGAGGCGGAGGUUGCAGUGAGUCAAGAUCACGCCAUUGCACUCCAGCCUGGGGGACAAGAGUGAGACUGUGUCUUUAAAAAAAAGAAAAAAAAGAAAUAAUUUUUAGGCAGCUGGAUAGGGUAAAGGUUCUAGGUGGAAACUAACAGAAAGGCGGCUUAAAGAGCCAGACCAGCAAGCUUUGAUAUGCAAACGCCGGCAAAUAGACACUGGGUCUACCCAACAUGGCGAUUCCCACAUCUUCUUGUCGACAGGUGUGCCAGGUGUCAUGGCCGCCCCCACAUAACACCAUGUGUUCAAAACGUCAUGGCAACCCACAUUUGCAUAUUAAAGGACUAAGGUGGGAGGGCCAGGUUUCUCAUGGACUACGUGAAUGAUACACCCGGUCAAACCAAUUCCCUGCCCCCUAUGCAAACCAGACACCGCCUCCUCCAGCCUCCCGCUAUCGUGGAAUGCCCUUCUGCGGCAUGCGGGGCCUCUUUGCUCUGAGCCCCACUGCGUCUCUGUAUAGGGGAGCUGUUUUAUUCUUUAUUCCUUCUUCCUUGCCUAUUAAACUUUCUGCUCCUUAAAACCACUCCACAUGUGUCCAUGUCGUUUUAUCUAAAUCGGCGGAGGACCAAGGACCGUGAUGUUCCUCCAGUCAUUGGAGCCGUAUCAAUAGCUCUUGCUAUCAGUAAUUCAUGCAGGAGAACCCUCCCUUUAUGGCCUCCCCCAGCGCUAUUUGUCAGAGUAUAUGUCGCCCGGGCUGGAGUGCAGUGGCAUGAUCUCAGCUCAUUGCAUCCUCUGCCUCCCAGAUUCAAGGGACUCUUCUGCCCCAGCCGCCCGAGUAGCCAGGACUACAGGUGCCACCAUGCCCGGCUAAUUUUUGUAUUUUUAGUAGAUACGGUGUUUCACCAUAUUGGCCAGGCUGGUCUCAAACUCCUGACCUCAUGAUCCACCCACCUCGGCCUCCCAAAGCGCUGGUAUUACAGGCGUGAGCCACUGCGCCCAGCCUAUUUGUCAGAGGCUUUUUUUUUUUUUUUUAACAGAAGUGACUCCAUUUUAAUUCUGAUAACUUUCUCAUUGUCCCCUUUUUACCAAGGUCUUUCUUUGAAAGAAUCACUGAUCAAUUAUUCUAUUGUUAGGUUUUGAUUGUCCCUUGUUGGUGCUGGGAUGUGGUGUCCUGCGGUUGCUGGUCUUGUCCCACAGUGGAGGGAAGUGAUUAGCAGCUAGAAGUCAGUGGCAAAACCUUUAGCCACAUUUGAACAAGAGAGAUUUGAAAGGAAUGUCUCUCAGGCUGAGUCUACCUGGAGUCCAUUAUUAAUUUCAGUUUUAUUUGUUUCAUAGUCUUUGCUAUCAUCUCAAAGAGCCGGUCCAGCAUUGUUCAGUUAGGAGGUGUACAUCUGCAGAAAUUUAACAAGUAACAGGCACAAAGUUUAAAAAGGGAAAAUACAAAGUAAAAUUAAUAGUAAUAUGAAAAUCCCAGUUUGCAUAACAGUUUUGAGCUACAAACCUAGGCUUAAGAUCACCAGUUGAAUGAACUAAAUGACCAUGAUCCUGUGGCACGAGCAGGUAGACGGUAAGAGGGAGGGCGUCUCUGAUACAGAAUCUCGUCCCGAUGAACUGGAAGCCCUGGCUACAGUGUGAAAACGCCAGCUUCUCUGCCUGGUUUGCAGGUGAAAUGUCUGUGGUUAUGGCAUUGGAUGGUUUGGUGAACUCCUGUGGGGCCCAUAUGUCAGAUAUGAGACUUGUUCCUUAAAAUUCAUCUAGUUUCAGUUUAUAGGGAUUUAGGAACAGAGCAGUUUUUAUUUUUAGUAAUUCCAUGGAAGAAAUUUUGACUGAAGGAAUCUAGAAGAAUUUAGGAUCUAGUCUAGUCUGUAGGUAGAUAUAAGAGCUCAAAUACAAUGCCCAGAGCUACAAUCUCCUAACAGAUGUAUUAUAGCUUUUCUUUUCCUUUUUCAAAAAGUAUAGAGAUAAGGGUCUCUCUAUUUUGCCCAGGCUGGUCUCGAACUCCUGGGCUCAAGUGAUCCUCCUACCUCAGCCUCCCAAAGUGUUGGGAUUACAGGCGUGAGGCACUGCACCCAGGCCUACAGCUUUUCUUUAGAAACAUAAGCUUUUCUCCCUAUGUUGAUCAGAUGGGAAUCUCAGAUUUAAUGGCCUCUUGAGGCUAAGAAGCCAAACCAAGGCAGGCUUUAGAUUUGACCGAUAGCCCUGAGGUUCCUGGGCCUGCCAGAUGGUGACAGUUUUUAUUUACUCUCGCUGUAAGGCUGGGAACUUUCUUUUUAUUUGGAGGGGGGAUGGAGUUUUGAUCUUGUUGCCCAGGCUGGAGCGCAAUGGCGCGAUGUUGGCUCACUUCAACCUCUGCCUCCCGGGUUCAAGCGGUUCUCCUGUCUCAGCCUCCCAGGUAGCUGGGAUUACAGGCGGCUGUCACCACGCCCAGCUAAUUUUAGUAUUUUUAGUAGAGAUGGGGUUUCACCAUGUUGGCCAGGCUGGUCUCAAACUCCUGACACCAGGUGAUCUUCCCACCUCAGCCUCCCAAAGUGCUGGGAUGAUAGGCGUGAGCCAGCGCGGCCGGCCAGGCUUGGAACGCUUGAGGCACAUUCUCAGAGACACGAUUUCGGUCACAGCCUUGGUAAUAUGACUGGUGUUUUCAGUUGUAGCCUCCUCUGUCUGUCUUGGUGGCCUCACGCCGUGGGCUGUGAUGCCGGCUACGCUGCUUGGGUGGCCAAGGGUCUGAGCUGCAAGACGCCCAGCCUGGGUCUCUCCCGAGCUCUCCCACGUCCUGUCUGCUCCUCCUCCGAGCUCCCGGUUGACUCUCACGACUGCACCAGCCUCUCCCCCAGGAAGGCGUGGAAACAACCUCCUUCUCCCAGGCCCGCUCUGCCUCCUGCGUUUCAAGGCAAAUCCGUUCCUCCAGGAGAUGAUGCAACCACAUCCUGUUGGAGCCCAGAGAAGUGCGGAUGCAGCCCGGGGCUCUUUCUUUCCUAGAACCCUGCCUGGGAGUGGCUUCCCUGAACUAAGGACAGAGACUUUGUCUUCGUUGCCUCUCGGCCUGUGGGCACUGAGCAUACAGUAGGUGCUCAGUAAAUGCUUGCAGGCCGAUGCCCAGAGCCAUUAGCCCUCAUCAUGGGAAAACAGGUGUCUCUGGUCCACAUGCAGAAGAGCCACCACCGUGGCACGACUGGAUGACUCAGACCCCGGGCGGGGGGUAUGAUUUGGACACAGUCAUUGUCCAGGGACACAACUUUGCCUGGACCAGAGCUUCUCACCCCCAGGCCAUUUGAAACCCCAGGGGAUACUCGACAAAGUCCAGAGACAUUUUGGGUUGUUCCUUUCCAGCCCCGGCGAUGGUGGGGACGUGUCCAUGUCUGUGUCCCUCCGGUCACUCUCUCUGGCCCUCUCCCUCCCUGGGGGCAGCUGCUCUCAGCCCUCCCUGCCCCCACAUCGCCAUCCUGCCUGUCCUUCUGGGCCUGCACGUUUGUUGUGUUUGGAAGGAGCCACCAAGGAGGAGGAUGUCAAUGUGCAAGUUCUCAGGGAAGCAGGCCCCGCAGCCUCCGUCAGUGUCUUCCGUCCGCAGGAAGAACCCAGGCCUGGGUGAUUCAUCGGGGCCUCAGGGCCGGGAGGCACUAAAUCUUCUGCAGAUGUGGUGGUGUGGGCUGUGUGGAUUUCGGAUGUGGGCCCAUAACAUAGCCACACUGCUGCAAAGCAAGUGAGUCUGAGGCAAGAAGAAGGCCCAACCUUGGGAGGCUGACCUGGAGGGCAGGCAGAGGCAGGUGGUAAGGACCUGCCUUACCUGUUGAGGUGACAGUGGGGGACAUAUUGCAAGGAAGGAGGCCCUGGAUCCUCAGGAUGUGGAUGGUGGGUAGAAGGGUGACAGCUAAUGGAUGUCCACCUGCACAGAUGCCCACCUGCAUGAGUGCCCACCUGCAUGAGUGCCCACUUGUACCAAUGUCCACCUGUACAGAUGUCCACAUGCAAAUGCCCAUCUGCACUGAUAUCCACCUGCACAGAUGCCUACCUGCAUGAAUACCCACUUGCCUGAAAGCCCACCUGCACCCAUGUCCACUGGCACAAAUGCCCACCUGCACCCGUGUCCACUGGCACAAAUGCCCACCUGCACAGAAGCCCACCCACACAAAUGCCCACCUGCAAAAAUGUCCGCCUGCACAGAUGUCCACCUGCAUGAAUGCCCACCUGUGUCCACAUGCACGAAUACCCACCUGCACAGAUGCCCACCUGCACGGAUGCCCACCUGUACAAAGGCCUACCUGCGUGAAUGUCCACCUGCAUGGAUGCCCACCCGCACGGAUGCCCACCUGCACAGUUAUCCAUCUGAACAGCCCUCUGGUGCCUCCUUUUGCUUGCACAUGUUCAAAUCCUCCCAGUCCUACAGUCGAUUGUUCCUAGUUGGGGUCAUUCUGGGCAUGUUAUUCUAAAACUUGUUUUUUCCCGUCUCCACAUCAAAGGAGAAAGGUCUAGCUUGCUUCUUUGCUAUAGAGCAGGGCCUGAGUGAGGUCAGGACCACAGAGCAGACCCUAUGAGUGUUGGUCAGGACACAGAGCAGGACCCCUUCAGGGUCUGGAAGAGGGUUCCCCAAGCUCCUGUUCAACCUGAGUGAGAGGCUCAGGCUGCCCCCAACACACUGCACAGAAAAAUGGGCCAUUGAUUCAGAGCCACCCACGCUAACAGCAGUUCAGCUGCAGCCCUCCGGCAGGCAGGUCCUGGGAACACUAGGAACCUGAGACCCUGUCCCUUCCUGAUAGCGGGGUGUGGUGACAUGAGGAGAGACUGGGUACCUCCAUUCUGCUCAUGAAAGUCACAGAGGGGACCGGGGACCCCAGGCCCCUAGCGAUACCAGCACCCCACACAAUGCCUUUCUGGGAUACACCCCCCCAACAUGGCCUGCCCAAGGCAUCAGGAGCUGUGUAGAGGAGUCAGCUGGGGGUGGCAGAGCCCCAGGGAACAAUCAUGGGUCGCUGGCAGAUAAGCCAUGCGCCCACACAGCACAGGCCCUCACCCCUGCAGCUGGGGGAGCCCUCCUUGGGAGCGGGCCCAGGAUCCGGGCAAAAUGACACAGACCGGAUCCAGGAGCAGACUGAGCAAAAGUGGCAAAAGUAUUCUCCAGGUUAAGGGAAUAUUUUCACCAAUUGAGAGACCAGCUGUCCCUCCAGACCCAAGGGUUCCACAUCCCUGGAGGCAACCAAGCCAGAUGCAAAAUAUUUGAAAAAGAAAAAUGAAAAAAAGAACAAUACAGCAAUAAAAAAGAACACAAAUAAAAAAUACAGUAUAGCUAUUGACAGAGCAUUGUGUUGUGUUAGGUCUGAUAAGUGAUCUAGCAAUGGUUUGCAGGAUGCAGGAAGAUGUGCGGGAGGGUGGGCACAGGUGCUAGGCAGACACUGCGCCAUUUUAUUCUGGGGACUUCAGUAUCUGCAGGGGUCCUGGGACUAAUC
Molecule: long non-coding RNA, 8268 nt
Filed under: Homo sapiens (human)
Lineage: Eukaryota; Metazoa; Chordata; Mammalia; Primates; Hominidae
Description: HSALNT0404510
Source: RNAcentral